This 72-nucleotide transfer RNA is filed under the name Corynebacterium pseudotuberculosis. RNAcentral's name for it is "tRNA-Gln". The record is from RNAcentral. Lineage: Bacteria; Bacillati; Actinomycetota; Actinomycetes; Mycobacteriales; Corynebacteriaceae.
UGACCACUAGAUUUGUGCACUUCUAGUGGUUGUGGUUAUAUUAGUUCCCGUUGCACAGCAAGACGUUGGAAA